CACGUAGGGGACGAGCGUUGUCCGGAAUUACUGGGCGUAAAGGGCGCGCAGGCUGUAGAUCAAGUCAGCUGUGAAAUGUCUGGGCUUAACCCGGGCAUGCGGUUGAAACUGAUGUACUGGAGUGCUGUAGAGGCAAGUGGAAUUCCCAGUGUAGCGGUGAAAUGCGUAGAUAUUGGGAAGAACACCAGUGGCGAAGGCGACUUGCUGGGCAGCAACUGACGCUGAGGCGCGAAAGCCAGGGGAGCAAACGGGAUUA
Molecule: ribosomal RNA, 256 nt
Filed under: uncultured prokaryote
Description: partial 16S ribosomal RNA
Rfam family: Bacterial small subunit ribosomal RNA
Source: RNAcentral